AGGUUCGCGUCGACUGUUCAGCAUUGUUCCACCAGCAACAAAUAAUACGAGCCCUUCCAACAAAAACUGACAGUAUCCAUUGUCAAGGUGUGGCGCUUUUACUCGGAGACGAGGUGACCAAUUACGACAGUGGUUUCAAGUCGCGUGUUCGUCUCCGCUGUGCUGUGCGCCGCUGCCACCUCGUCGUCCUGCUUCGUCGUCCGUCUGCCGUCGCCCGUGCAAG
This is a long non-coding RNA of Schistocerca cancellata (South American locust), 223 nucleotides long. RefSeq lists it as uncharacterized. The transcript has 4 exons. Lineage: Eukaryota; Metazoa; Arthropoda; Insecta; Orthoptera; Acrididae. The record is from RefSeq and is a predicted model, not a curated record.